This 77-nucleotide small RNA is filed under the name Flavobacterium noncentrifugens. Its description in RNAcentral is "Flavo-1 RNA". It matches the Rfam family "Flavo-1 RNA". The record is from Rfam by way of RNAcentral. Lineage: Bacteria; Pseudomonadati; Bacteroidota; Flavobacteriia; Flavobacteriales; Flavobacteriaceae.
CCCUAGCCCUGAUGGAAGCGGCAUCCUUUUUCCCGAUUCUUUAAGGGAAAAAGAUACAGCGGACAGCAGGAAAUAGC